UGGGGAAUUGUUCACAAUGGGCGCAAGCCUGAUGACGCAACGCCGCGUGGGGGAUGAAGGUCUUCGGAUCGUAAACCCCUGUCGAAUGGGACGAAAGACUCGCGAGUGAAUACUUCGCGAGAGUGACGGUACCGUUAAAGGAAGCCACGGCUAACUCUGUGCCGGCAGCCGCGGUAAUACAGAGGUGGCAAGCGUUGUUCGGAAUUACUGGGCGUAAAGGGCGCGUAGGCGGCCCUCUAAGUCAGACGUGAAAUCCCCCGGCUUAACCUGGGAACUGCGUCUGAUACUGGAGGGCUUGAGUAUGGGAGAGGGAUGUAGAAUUCCAGGUGUAGCGGUGAAAUGCGUAGAUAUCUGGAGGAAUACCGGUGGCGAAGGCGGCAUCCUGGACCAUUACUGACGCUGAGGCGCGAAAGCCAGGGGAGCAAACGGGAUUAGAUACCCCUGUAGUCCCUGAGCGGGCUGGCAAGGCGCAU
Molecule: ribosomal RNA, 473 nt
Filed under: uncultured bacterium
Lineage: Bacteria
Description: bacterial SSU rRNA
Rfam family: Bacterial small subunit ribosomal RNA
Source: RNAcentral